Molecule: unclassified non-coding RNA, 281 nt
Filed under: Hevea brasiliensis (rubber tree)
Lineage: Eukaryota; Viridiplantae; Streptophyta; Magnoliopsida; Malpighiales; Euphorbiaceae
Source: RNAcentral
UUAAUUUUUUAACCUUCUACCAAACAUACUCUUAGGGGCAAUCAAAUGAAAAGAACCAGAAUUGAAAAAGUGAAAAUGAAAAAAAUGGUUAGAUGAACCGAAUAGAUUAGAUAAUAGUCAUGGUUUUUCAUUUUGGGUUUCAUGUGUAGGAAGGUGAAAGUGGCACAAUGGGAUAAAUUAAGAGAAUGGAGAUUGAGAUGGUUUGGAUGUGUGCCUUGUAGACUAAGCAAACUCAUCAAUAUAGAAGGUUGGGCAUGUUGAAUUUAAGUGAUAAGAGAAAG